ACGGAGGGGGUUAGCGUUGUUCGGAAUUACUGGGCGUAAAGCGUACGUAGGCGGAUUAGUAAGUUGGGGGUGAAAUCCCAGGGCUCAACCCUGGAACUGCCUCCAAAACUACUAGUCUUGAGAUCGUGAGAGGUGAGUGGAAUUCCGAGUGUAGAGGUGAAAUUCGUAGAUAUUCGGAGGAACAUCAGUGGCGAAGGCGGCUCACUGGCACGAUACUGACGCUGAGGUACGAAAGUGUGGGGAGCAAACAGG
This 252-nucleotide ribosomal RNA is filed under the name uncultured bacterium. RNAcentral's name for it is "partial 16S ribosomal RNA". It matches the Rfam family "Bacterial small subunit ribosomal RNA", at positions 525 to 776 of the family's 1533-position model. The record is from RNAcentral.